Molecule: ribosomal RNA, 465 nt
Filed under: uncultured bacterium
Lineage: Bacteria
Description: partial 16S ribosomal RNA
Rfam family: Bacterial small subunit ribosomal RNA
Source: RNAcentral
CCUACGGGUGGCAGCAGUAGGGAAUCUUCCACACUGGGCGCAAGCCUGUUGGAGCAACACCGCGUGAGUGAAGAAGGGUUUCGGCGCGUAAAGCUCUGUUGUUGGAGAAGAACGUGCGUGAGAGUAACUGUUCGCGCAGUGACGGUAUCCAACCAGAAAGUCACGGCUAACUACGUGCCAGCAGCCGCGGUAAUACGUAGGUGGCAAGAGUUAUCCGGAUUUAUUGGGCGUAAAGGGAGCGCAGGCGGUUGCUUAGGUCUGAUGUGAAAGCCUUCGGCUUAACCUAAGAAGUGCAUCGGAAACCGGUCAAAGUGAGUGCAGAAGAGGACAGUGGAACUCCAUGUGUAGCGGUGGAAUGCGUAGAUAUAUGGAAGAACACCAGUGGCGAAGGCGGCUGUCUGGUCUGCAACUGACGCUGAGGCUCGAAAGCAUGGGUAGCGAACAGGAUUAGAUACCCUUGUAGUC